UAACCACUUACCGUUGCCUCUUCCCAUCCCGCUCUUCUCGCACCGAAUCUUUUCCCCAGGUGAGGAUUCUCAGGAGACUGGUUGUGCUCAAGAGAUGCCAAUUUAGAACAGACCAGCAAGCCCCAGGCCUUCAGUCCUAGGACUCCUCGAAGUUCCUUGCUUUGCCAAGAGGGGGCAGAGUUGACAGUGGCAACAAGGCCAACAUUGGGAGUGGGAGCAGGGCAGUGUGGGCAGUUGUGUCUCUACCCAUGUGCUCCCACAAAAACUCUCACCCUGGCAGAGUCAGGCCUAUUGUGGCAGCCAUAGCCUGUGGUUAGUAGUCAUCUGCUGAUAUGUGAAAGGUUGAAUAUGGUAUCAGAGAGGCAGUUUGGGAGUAUACAUGAAUAACAUACGCAAAGCUGGGUUAUAUCAAAAUCAAAUGUUUGAAAAUUCAGGCUUGCCAGUACAAGACUCAUGUAGAUCACAACAGUUUGUGAGAUACUUACUCAGUUUCCUUGAUUAUUUAAAUAUUAUCUUGAAUCUAUUCCCAGCUGACAUGAUCCUUAUCUAUUUAUUCUUUCCACCACCCCCCCCCCCACCAUGUGCUCUUAAAUAGAGGAAUGGUGUGUAUUACAGAUUCCAAAAAUGUCUUUUUCUUUAUUUGGUCUCUGGGAACCCAAAAUUAGCUGUUGCUAUGAUUGUAUAUUAACCAAAAAAUCAUAAACGCAUACAGGUCCAUCCUAGCAUUAGAGUAGAAACAUGACUUGGGCAUUUAGAAGCUGUUACAUACUGUUUUUUUAUGGUGAUUUACUGCUUAGUUUUAAUAGAUCAACAAAUUAUUCUGUUACAACUGAAAUUGAUUCCUUUCCAUUAAUUAAAAAUGUAAUGAGGGGCGCCUGGGUGGCGCAGUCGGUUAAGCGUCCGACUUCAGCCAGGUCAUGAUCUCGCGGUCCAUGAGUUCGAGCCCCGCGUCGGGCUCUGGGCUGAUGGCUCAGAGCCUGGAGCCUGUUUCCGAUUCUGUGUCUCCCUCUCUCUCUGCCCCUCCCCCGUUCAUGCUCUGUCUCUCUCUGUCCCAAAAAUAAACGUUGGAAAAAAAAAAAUUAAAAAAAAAAAAAAAUGUAAUGAGAUACUGGUUGGAUCACUUGGAUCAAGUGGUUUAAAUGUGUAUUUACUUCCCUGUAGGAUAGAUAUAUAUAAAGCCAACAUCUUAGCAUUUAGGGAGGAUAAAAUGUGAUAAUGUCUGAGAAAGUACUUGGUGAAUGUAAACUAACAGCCAUGCGCCAAAAAAUUAGCUACCUUAUAAAUUUAUGUAGAUACCCGAAGCUCGGCAUAAUUGAAAGUUAUUUUAGAUUUAAUCAGUAUACAAAAGAUAGGUAGCAUCCUUUAGAAUAAUGGUUAUUUUAACUGUUCUACACAAAUCUAUCACACCCUUUGGCUCUGGAAUUCCUUAGAGAAAAGAGUAUAAUUGCAAUUGAUCUUCAAUCAUGUUCAAUCUGCAGAUCUCCACACAAGAGGAAUCUGUGAAACAAUACACAACCCAUACUGAGUCCUAUCACAUACAUUAUUUAUGUCAAGUGAGCACCUUCCUCUGGAGUAGUAGUAUACUCUGUAGUUGUCUUUUCUCUUCCAUAUCUCUUUGUUAACUGACUUCCAUUACCUAAGUCUAUCUUCCCAACUCCUGUCAUUGUAGGCAGAAGCAUCAUGGUCUUUCAUAUUUUAUAGUGUUUGGCUUGUAUGUUCCAGGUGUGUAAUAAAUACUUUGCUACUUUUUUUUAAAACCUUACCUUUUUUUUUUUUACUCUUUUUCUUUUAGAAACUCCUCAAGCGUUCACAUUGGCUUUUUCUGUCAAGACUACAUUGUUGACCAGCUAAUAACAUCCAGGUAAGCACUGUCUUUUGUGAAGACUCCUUCAUAAGCCCCUGAGAGCCAACCAUUUCAUUGGGCUUGAAAGUGCUGACUUGAAAGAACCAUACACUUAAUCGUCAAGUACACAGGAAUAUUAUUAGUUAUGUGUUAAUAUGUGUUAAUCUCGUCUUCCCUACAAGAGUAUCAAACACUCAGGGAACUGAUGGAGCAUUUGUUCUAUUGUGUUUUGAUGUUGGCAUCUUGGAUCUCGGGAGCUACUUAUUGCAUCUUUCUUCCCAGCCUUGUCUCUCCCAGCAAAGGACUAAACUCAUUUUAACAGAUUAAUAAACCAAAGAUCCUAGAGAUUAAGGUACUUACCUAGAGUCACAUGACUUUUAAGGAAUGAUAGAGCCAGGAUUUGACUGUGGCUCUCUGAUUCAAGAUAUUUUCAGACAAAAUAUCUGGAGUUUACCACCAACAGAAAACACUCCCUGAUGCAAGAAGCAAAGAAAUUGGUAAGUAAGUGGUUAAAAUUAAAAAUGCAAUAAAGGAAUAAUACUAACAAUGUGUGUAGUUAAUGAAGUAAGGCAAGAUGGAACUAAUAUCCUGGACAACAAAGUCGUACUUUGAAGUGGGAAGGGUGGGAUGAUGAUUAGACUUAAAGUUUUCCAAAGUCCUUGUAUUGUUUGGGAAGACAAUAAAAAUAUUGAUUAAGCUUUAUUCUUUUAAGUAUUCAAGUUAAAAUAUCUCAGGUAACUAAGAGUUUUAAUUUCUAAAUUAAUAGAGGGAGAAAAUAGAAUAAAAAUCCAACAAAAGCAUCAUGAUGAUAGAAAAAAGAAACAAAUAGUGAAACAAAUAGAAAUCACAAAUAAUAUGGUAAAAAAUAAAUGCAAAUAUUUCAGUAACUAUAGUAAAUGUAAGCCGAAUAAAGUCUCCAAUUUAAAAAAAGAAUGCAGGGGCGCCUGGGUGGCUUAGUCGGUUAGACUUCGGUUCAGGUCAUGUUCUCACAGUUUGUGGUUCAAGCCCGCGUUGGGCUCUGUGCUGCCAGCUCAGAGCCUGGAGCUUGCUUCUGAUUCUGUGUCUCCCUCUCUCUGGCCCUCCCCCGCUCACGCUCUGUCUCACUCUCUCUCUCAAAAAAAACAUUAAAAAAUUUUUUUUUAAAUAAUAAAAAAUAAAAAAAGAAUGCAAACAGACAAGAAAACAAAAUCCAACAAUAUGCUAUUUUUGAAACAUUCUCAAAACGAAGAACAUAGAAAAAUGUAGGAGGAUGGAAAAAGAUGUCAGGCUAAUAUAUCAGUAGAAAGCUUACCGGUAACAUCAGACAAACUAAGAAUAAAUGAAGGUUGCUAAAUAAUGGUAAGUUCAGGACCCUAGGACUUCAGAAUUCUAAACGUGUAUGUUCAUAAUUACAGGUCCUUAAAAUACUGAAAGCAAACUUUCACAGAACUAUGAGAAAAAUGUAUAAAUUUCCCACUGUAGUGGAGAUUUUAAUACACCUCAAAAUAAUGAAUGGAUAGAUCUUACAAGAAUCAGAAGAUAUGAGCAACAUAAUUAAGAGAUUAAGGGGCACCUGGGUGGCUGUGUCAAACGUCUGACUCUGGAUUUCAGCUCAGGUCAUGAUCUCAUGGUUUGUGAGUUUGAGCCCCACGUGUGGCUCUGCACUGACAGUGCGGAGCCUGCUUAGGAUUCUCUCUCUCUACCUCCCUCUCUGCCCCUCCCCUGCUCAUGCUCUCUCUCUCAAAAUAAAUAAAGUUUAAAAAAAAACAAGACUGAAUUAAUAGACAUAUUAAAUGUUGUACUUAAUAGAGCAUUCAUAUCCUUUUAAUGCACACAUGUGAGAUUUAUGAAGAUUGACCACAUGUAUGUCCAUGUGGUAAUUCUCAACAAAUUUUAGAUGACGGAUGUUGCAUAAGCCACAUUCUCUAACAAACAUGCAAUUAAGUCAGAAAUCACUAAGGGGAGAAAAAUACAUUUGAAUAUUGAAACACAUGCUUGCAAAUAACUUGGUCAGAAAAAAAAAAACUAUGAUGGGAAUUACAAAAUAAUUGGAACUAAAGAACAAUGAAAUGUAAAUCCUGGAUUUUCCUCACUAGGAAAAUUUUUUUUCUUUUUGUUUUGUAUCUAGAUAAGAAGAUGCAUUUAGCAGAGCCUAAUGUGGUCAUCACUUCACAAUAUAUGCAAAUCAGACCAUCACACUGUAUGCCUCAAACUUACAUGGUGAUUUAAUGCAAUUAUUUCUCAAUAAAACUGGAAAAAAUAGUGAAAUACCAAAAUCAUAGAUAAAGCUAAAGCAGUAAUUAAAGGGAAAUUAGGAAUUUAAAUACUUAUGGAGGAAAAGACAAAAUUGACAAUUACAUGUCAAACCUAAAGUAGAAGUAAAGAAAAAAUAAAGAUGAGAGUACAAAAUUAAUGAAAGAAAAGGCAUACAAUGGAGAAGAUGCACAAAGCCAACAAUUCUUUCUGAACGAACAAUUUGACCAAACUCUGACAAACUGGGGAAAAAGUAGAAGAUACAAGUAAUGAGAAGAGGGACAAAACUGUGGAAACUACUGCAAUGAUAAAAUUGACCCAAAAAAUGAACAAUCUGAUAUCAAUAAAUCUGAAAACUUAGAUCAACUCGGAUAACUUUCUAAGAUAAUAGAAAUUAGCAAAACUGAUUUAGUGAGAAAUGAAAAACCUAUCUGUUCCUAAAACUAUGAAAAAAUUAAUCAGUAGUAUGGGGUGCUUUGGUGGCUCAUCGGUUAAGUGGCUGGCUCUUGAUUUCAGCUCCGGUCAUGAUUUCACAGUCAUGGGAUCCACCUGCAUCGGGCUCUACACUCAGCAUGGAGCCUGUUUGGAAUUCUCUCUCUCCCUCUUUCCCUGCCCCUCCCUCGCUCGUUCUCUCAAAAUAGAUAAACUUUUUAAAAAAUGUUUAAUAAGAUUAAUCAGUAGUCAAUUUUCCCUCAAAAAGAAAGGAAGGGGUAGAAGGACAGACAGACUCAGACAAAGAUAGGACAAAAAAGGAAAAGGUUACAAGCUAUUCUCAUUCUUCAACAAAGAUGGAAUAAUCCUGAACAAAAUAUUAAAGCAAAUCCAGCGAUUCAUCAAAAAGAUAAAAACUAUAAUCAAGUUGAAUUUAUUUCAGGAAUGAAAGGGUUCAAUGUUGCAAACUUUUUAAAGCAAUUCACCAUACUGACAAAUUAUGAUGGUGUGAUAGGCAGAAUAAUAGCUCCCCAAAGAUGUCCACUUCCUCAUCCCUAGAACCUGUGAGUAUUUUUCUUUUUGCAGCAAAAGGGACUUGGAUGUGAUUGAGUUCCACACCUUGGGAUGGGGAGGUUAUCUUGGAUUAUCUGGGCUCAGUCUAAUAAUAAAUCCUAAAAAUGGAAGAGGAAGGCAAAAGAGAGAUGAAAAAGGGCAAGGACUUAACCUGCCUGUUUGCUGGCUUUGAAAAUGGAGGAAAAGGGCCAUGAGCCAAGGAAUGUGGCAGCCUCUGCAAGAUGAAAAUAACCCUCACUCAUUUUUACAGCCAGCAAGAAAAUAGGGACUGUGGUCCUACAACCUCUAGGAACUGAAUUCUGCCAAUAACCCAAAUGAGCAGGAAAUAGAUUUUCUCCCAGAGCCUCCAGAAUGGAAUGCAACCUGCCAAUACUGUUUUUAGUUCAGUUAGACCCAUACUGGAUUUCUGGUGUGCGGAAAUUUAUGUUGUCUUAUGCUUCUAAGUUUGUAGCAAUUUGUUACAUCAGCAAUUGAAAGCUAAUACAAGAUGGUACAACCAAAUACUUUUAGAUGCAGGCAAAAGUGUUAACUUUCAGUAACCAUUCUUAAUUUUAAAAAAAGAAAAGAAAGAGAAAAAAAAAAAACCUUUAACAAACCAGGAAUAGAAUGAAACUUCCUUAACCUGAUAAAGAUCUAGAGCAAACAUGAUACAUCAUUGUGAAAUCAUUUUUUAUUUCUUUUGAAAUUAAAAAGCAAAAUGUUUGCUAUCACAUUUCUUUUUUUCUUUUUUUCUUUUCUUUUUCUUUUUCUUUUUUUUUUUUUUUUUUUGCUAUCACCACUUCUUUUCAAAUUGUACUUGAGUCCUAGCCAGCAAAAUAAAACAAUGCAAGAAAUAAAACAGGUAAGAAGUAAAAAGGACAGUUGUUAUUUACAGGUGGUAUGAUUGUCUAUUUAGAGAAGCCCAAAUCAUUUACAGAACAAUACUUAGAACUAAAAACGUUUCUUCAAGUUUUUCAGAUUAAAAAAAAAAGUCAACUUCAUUUCCAUAAUCCAGCAGUUAGAAAGCACAAGCAAAUAAAACAUACCAUUUACAAAAACAACACCAACAUCAAAAUAUGAGAGCUAGGUUAUCUUACUGGUUAUCCAUCUGGAGAGCAAGUAAAAAUGGAUCCUUAUUUCAUAUUUAACCCAAAAGUCAAUUCCAGAUGGAUUAAAGACUUCAAUAUGAAAGGCAAAACAUGGAAAGAUUUAGAAUAAAAUAUAGAAUAAUACAUCAUCUUUAGUACAUGCCCAUGUGAUAGAAAAAAUGUUCUUAAAAUUCAAAGUGCAAACCAAAGGGGUCAAAACUCAGCUCUUUUGAAACUUUGUCGUCAGAAGACAAAAAGUGAAAGGAAAAAUCAUAAACUGGACAGAAAGACCUGCAACACACAUAACAACAACAACAAAAGUGUCUACACCCCAGUAUAGUGGUACUAACCACAUACAACUGGCAAGUACUUAAAAUGUAACUAGGCCAAAUUAAGAUGUGUGUAAGUAUGAAAAAGACACCAGAUUGCAAAGAGUUAGUACAAAAAAAAAAAAUAUAUAUAUAUAUACAUGUAUAUAUGUAUGCAUGUAUUACAUGUUGAAAUGAUAAUAUCUUGGUAAGUAUAUUGUAUUAUUAAGUAAAAAAUAUAAAAAAUAAUUUGGCCUGUUUCUUAUCACUAUUUUAAAUGAGGCUUCUAGAAAAUUUGAAAUUACAUUUUGACUUGCAUUUUAUUUCUGUUGGACAGCACUGAUCUAGAAUAUAUAAGGAACUCGUGCAAAUCAGGGGAAAAAAACAGUUUUUUAAAUUGGCAAAUAUCACCAAAGAGGACAAAUUAAUAGCUAAGAAACAUUGAAAAGAUGUUUUAGGGAAAUCAGAUACGAUGCAGUGUUAGUGGGAGUGUUAAUUAGUAUAAUAGCUUUGGAAAACAAUUUGACUUUACCUAGUAAAGAUGAGUAUGGGCAUACCUACAACCCAACAACUACACUCUUAGAUAUGCAAACUAGAGAAACUUGCACAUGUACCACAAAGGCCAUGUUUGGAAAUGUUCUUAGCAGUAUUGGCAAAUGUCCCAUCAACUGUAGUGUAUUUAUGUAAGGAAUGAUUAAACAGCAUUUGAAAACAGGGGCUCCUGGGUGGCUAAGUUGGUUAAGUGUCCAAGUUCAGCUCAGGUCAUGAUUUCACAGUUCAUGAGUUCAAGCCCCACAUUGAGCUUUCCACUCUCAGCCCAGAGCCUGCUUCAAAUCUUCUGUAUCCCUCUCUCUCUGCCCCUGCCCCCCAAAGAAUAAAAAAUAAGAUGAAAUUUCCAGCUACACCUAUCAAAAUGGUUAAAUCUCAGGAACAGGGGUGCCUGGGUGGCUCUGUCAGUUAAGCGUCCCACUUUGGCUCAGGCCAUGAUCUCAUGGUUUAUGGGUUCAAGUCCCACAUCGGGCUGUGUGCUGACAGCUUGGAGCGUGCUUGGAUUCUGUGUCUCCCUCUCUCUGUACCCCUCCCCUGCUCAUGGUCUGUAUCUCAAAAAAUAAUAAUAAUAAAAAUAAAUGUUAAAAAAUAAAUCUUAAUAACAUAAUAAGCAGAAAAAAAGACAUAAAAGGAUAUAUAAUUUUUUUUCUAUUUAUAUGAAGUUUUACAAGUCAAAAUUAACAGAUUAUGCAGGGAUUUAAACAAGAAAAUUCAGGGGUGCCUUGGUAGCUCAGUCAGUUAAGCAUCUGAAGCUUGAUUUUGGCUCAGGUCAUGAUCUCAUGGUUCAUAAGAUGGAGCCCCACAUCAGACUCUGCACUGACAGUGUGGAACCUCCUUGAGAUUCUCUUUCUCUCUCUGCCCC
This 7866-nucleotide long non-coding RNA is filed under the name Lynx pardinus (Iberian lynx). Lineage: Eukaryota; Metazoa; Chordata; Mammalia; Carnivora; Felidae. The record is from RNAcentral.